AGUGAACGCUGGCGGUAGGCCUAACACAUGCAAGUCGAACGGCAGCACAGUAAGAGCUUGCUCUUACGGGUGGCGAGUGGCGGACGGGUGAGGAAUACAUCGGAAUCUACUUUUUCGUGGGGGAUAACGUAGGGAAACUUACGCUAAUACCGCAUACGACCUACGGGUGAAAGCAGUGGAUCUUCUGACCUUGCGCGAUUGAAUUAGCCGAUGUCGGAUUAGCUAGUUUGCGGGGUAAAGGCCCACCAAGGCGACGAUCCGUAGCUGGUCUGCGAGGCUGAUCAGCCACACUGGAACUGAGACACGGUCCAGACUCCUACGGGAGGCAGCAGUGGGGAAUAUUGGACAAAGGGCGCAAGCCUGAUCCAGCCAUACCGCGUGGGUGAAGAAGGCCUUCGGGUUGUAAAGCCCUUUUGUUGGGAAAGAAAAGCAGCAGGUUAAUACCCCGCUGUUCUGACGGUACCCAAAGAAUAAGCACCGGCUAACUUCGUG
This 492-nucleotide ribosomal RNA is filed under the name uncultured bacterium. RNAcentral's name for it is "partial 16S ribosomal RNA". It matches the Rfam family "Bacterial small subunit ribosomal RNA", at positions 29 to 507 of the family's 1533-position model. The record is from RNAcentral.